AUGGCCCUGAGCAGUACCUGCCCCCGGCUCACCUGUGGUCGCCGGCUGGGCAACCGGCGUCCUCAUGGUUGCUGUCCCCUGGCUCCUCCCCAUCCUCGGGGGGCCCCGGCUCCUCCGGCCCCCUGCCAGGGUCGUGGCCCCCGUCUGAGUGCUGCCUGCACACAGGGCCAUCAGGGACCCCGGCAGCUGGGUGCCCCUGGCCCCCCCCCCCCCAGGGACCCCAGAUGCCCCCACUUCAUCCCCAUGGUACCUGCUGCUGUGGCGGUGUGCGGCCACGUGGGGGAGGGGUGCAGGCUCCUCCCCCUCCAUGGGGGUGGGGCUGGCAGCCGAGGGGGGCUCCCCCCGGAGCGGGGGGCUGGGGGCAGAGUCGUACAGGGUCUCAGGGGCCUGCAGAGAAAAGGAGUGGGGCUUAUUGCUGGGUGGGGGGUGAGGUGGGCGGAGCCUCCAGAAGCUGGUUUGUGCAGUGGGGUGGGGCCUGGUGGUGGGCGGGGCUCACCGCAUAGGUCAGCUGCUCGUCGCCGGGCUCGGGGGGACCGUCGCCCUCCAGGUCGCAGCUCAACGCCCGGCGCAUCUCAGGGCCCAGCGCCUGCAGGGUCUGCAGCCCAGCCUGGGGGUGGGAGGGCGGUUACUGCGGCAACUACCCCCCUCCUCCCGGGGGGGUCCCAGGGUGGGGGCCCUGCCCACCUGGAGGGCGCGCUCGUUGCGGGGGCCGGCACUGGGGCCCAGCAUCCCCCGCUCCUUACGCCGCCGGAACUUGCGGAAAUAGUCCUGGAUCAGGAAGGUGGCAUAGAACUUCCCCACGGUGAUCUCCUCCUCUGGGGGGCGACAGGGUUAGGGGUGCUGGUGGCCCCGCGGGGGCACCGGGCUGGUGGGGGGCACUCACCCUCCGGUGCUGGGAUGAUCUCGUCCAGAAGUUUGGGUUUCGUCCUCUUCCAGAUUUUCUUGACCACGGCACGGAGCUCCUUGUUGGCCACGUCCAGGUUCCCUGAGGGCGAGCGGGUCCCUCAGGGAACCCAGGCGUCCAGGCCCCCCCAGCUCUAG
This 1041-nucleotide long non-coding RNA is filed under the name Apteryx owenii (little spotted kiwi). RNAcentral's name for it is "lncRNA (ENSAOWG00000009093.1)". The record is from RNAcentral. Lineage: Eukaryota; Metazoa; Chordata; Aves; Apterygiformes; Apterygidae.